CAAAUUACCCAAUCCUGACACAGGGAGGUAGUGACAAGAAAUAACAAUACGGGGCUUAAUGUCUUGUAAUUGGAAUGAUGGGAAUUUAAACCUCUUCCAGAGUAUCAAUUGGAGGGCAAGUCUGGUGCCAGCAGCCGCGGUAAUUCCAGCUCCAAUAGCGUAUAUUAAAAUUGUUGCAGUUAAAAAGCUCGUAGUUGAAUUUCUGCUGCAUUGCUUUUGCUCCUUUACGAGUCUUUGCAUUGUGGCUUAUUUCGGACUUUGUUUUACAAUGUCCGGAUGUUUACUUUGAGAAAAUUAGAGUGCUCAAAGCAGGCUUUCGCCUUGAAUAGUUUAGCAUGGAAUAAUAAAGUAGGACUUUGGUUCUAUUUUGUUGGUUUUAGGUACCAAAGUAAUGGUUAAUAGGAACAGUUGGGGGCAUUCGUAUUUAACUGUCAGAGGUGAAAUUCUUAGAUUUGUUAAAGACGAACUACUGCGAAAGCAUUUGCCAAGGAUGUUUUCAUUAAUCAAGAACGAAAGUUAGGGG
Molecule: ribosomal RNA, 523 nt
Filed under: Theileria ovis
Lineage: Eukaryota; Apicomplexa; Aconoidasida; Piroplasmida; Theileriidae
Description: SSU rRNA
Rfam family: Eukaryotic small subunit ribosomal RNA
Source: RNAcentral